Molecule: ribosomal RNA, 1974 nt
Filed under: gut metagenome
Description: bacterial LSU rRNA
Rfam family: Bacterial large subunit ribosomal RNA
Source: RNAcentral
GUAAAUAAUUAAGGGCGUAUGGUGGAUGCCUAGGCUCUCAGAGGCGAUGAAGGACGUGAUAAGCUGCGAAAAGCUCCGUUUAGGUGCAAAUAACCUUUGAUGCGGAGAUCUCCGAAUGGGAUAACCCAAUAUGUUGAAGACAUAUUAUACCGUAAGGUAGGCAAACGCAGGGAACUGAAACAUCUAAGUACCUGCAGGAGAAGAAAACAAACGUGAUUCCCCCAGUAGCGGCGAGCGACCGGGGAAAAGCCCAAACCGUUAUUGUUUCGGCAUUAACGGGGUAGUAGGACUGCAAGCUUGAUGAAAUAAAUGAAAUGGAACACCUUGGAAAAUGUGAUCACAGAGGGUGAUAAUCCCGUACAUGCAAGUUUAUGAAUCAUAGCAGACUCCUGAGUAAGUCGGGACACGUGUAAUCCUGACCGAAUCCGCCGGGACCAUCCGGCAAGGCUAAAUACUCCUGAGAGACCGAUAGUGAACCAGUACCGUGAGGGAAAGGUGAAAAGCACUUCGAACAGAAGAGUGAAAUAGUCCCUGAACCCAUACGCCUACAAGCUGUCGGAGCCGCUUCGUGCGGUGACGGCGUGCCUUUUGCAUAAUGAGCCUACGAGUUACUCAUCACCAGCGAGGUUAAGUACUUCAGGUACGUAAGCCGAAGCGAAAGCGAGUCUGAAUAGGGCGUCAAGUUGGUGGUGGUAGACGCGAAACCUUAGUGAUCUACCCAUGGGCAGGGUGAAGGUUUGGUAACACAAACUGGAGGCCCGAACCGGUAAACGUUGAAAAGUUUUCGGAUGACCUGUGGGUAGGGGUGAAAGGCCAAUCAAACUGGGAAAUAGCUCGUACUCUCCGAAAUGCAUUUAGGUGCAGCCUCUGUUGUUUUGUUCUAGAGGUAGAGCUACUGAUUGGAUGCGAGGGCUUCACCGCCUAUCAAAUCCGGCCAAACUCCGAAUGCUAGAACAUGAAGACAGGGAGUGAGCCAGCGGGUGCUAAGGUCCGUUGACGAAAGAGGGAGAACUCAGACCAUCAGCUAAGGUCCCCAAUUGUAUGCUAAGUUGGAAUUAAAACGGGGUGGGACUGCUUAGACAGCUAGGAUGUUGGCUUGGAAGCAGCCAUUCAUUUAAAGAGUGCGUAACAGCUCACUAGUCGAGCGGUCCUGCAUGGAUAAUACGCGGGCAUAAGCAUAUAACCGAAGCUAUGGGAUUGUAGAUGAUACAAUCGGUAGGAGAGCAUUCCAUUCAGCGUAGAAGCAGUAUCGUGAGGUAUUGUGGAGCGGAUGGAAAAGCAAAUGUAGGCAUAAGUAACGAUAAUGCGGGUGAGAACCCCGCACGCCGAAAGAUCAAGGAUUCCCCGGCAAUGUCAAUCAUCCGGGGGUAAGUCGGAUCCUAAGGGUAAGCCGAGUGGCGAUCCCGAUGGCAAACAGGUUAAUAUUCCUGUACUGAUCAUAACUGCGAUGCAGCGACGCAGAGGUGACACUGCUGCGUACUGACGGAAUAGUACGUUGAAACCCGUAUUCUUUGAUACCGGUAGUGAAGCACGCCGGUAGAGAUGAAAGGUGAUAGUACCGCAAUGCUUCGGUUGCGCGGAUAACGCAGGUAAGCUGACUGCCAAGAAAACCUGCUAAGCUUCAGGUAAUGAUCAUCCGUACUGUAAACGGACACACGUGAUCAGGUAGAAAAUACUAAGGCGCUCGAGAGAUUCAUGGUUAAGGAACUAGGCAAAAUGGUCCUGUAACUUCGGGAUAAAGGACGCUCUUGUGAAAGAGCCGCAGAUAAUAGGCCCAGGCGACUGUUUACCAAAAACACAUGGCUAUGCUAAUUCGCAAGAAGAUGUAUAUGGCCUGACACCUGCCCGGUGCCGGAAGGUUAAGAGGAGAGCUCAGAGGCAACUCGAAGGUUUGAAUUGAAGCCCCGGUAAACGGCGGCCGUAACUAUAACGGUCCUAAGGUAGCGAAAUUCCUUGUCGGGUAAGUUCCGACCU